RNAcentral lists this ribosomal RNA (460 nucleotides) under uncultured bacterium. RNAcentral describes it as "partial 16S ribosomal RNA". It matches the Rfam family "Bacterial small subunit ribosomal RNA", at positions 338 to 795 of the family's 1533-position model. The record is from RNAcentral.
CCUACGGGAGGCAGCAGUGAGGAAUAUUGGUCAAUGGGCGGAAGCCUGAACCAGCCAAGUAGCGUGCAGGAUGACGGCCCUACGGGUUGUACACUGCUUUUAUACGGGAAUAAUGCGCCUUACGUGUAGGGCUUUGCAUGUACCGUAUGAAUAAGGACCGGCUAAUUCCGUGCCAGCAGCCGCGGUAAUACGGAAGGUCCGGCCGUUAUCCGGAUUUAUUGGGUUUAAAGGGAGCGUAGGCCGCAUUUCAAGCGUGCUGUGAAAUGUCCGGGCUCAACCCGGGCCUUGCAGCGCGAACUGGCGUGCUUGAGUCCGCGGAAAGCAGGCGGAAUUCGUCGUGUAGCGGUGAAAUGCUGAGAUAUGACGAAGAACCCCGAUUGCGAAGGCAGCUUGCUGCAGCGGAACUGACGCUGAUGCUCGAAAGCGCGGGUAUCGAACAGGAUUAGAUAGCCGUGGAGUC